This 293-nucleotide ribosomal RNA is filed under the name uncultured bacterium. RNAcentral's name for it is "partial 16S ribosomal RNA". It matches the Rfam family "Archaeal small subunit ribosomal RNA", at positions 455 to 747 of the family's 1478-position model. The record is from RNAcentral.
GUGCCAGCCGCCGCGGUAAUACCGGCAGCCCGAGUGAUGGCCGCUGUUAUUGGGCCUAGAGCGUCCGUAGCUGGGUCUGAAAGUCCAUCGGGAAAUCCACUCGCUCAACGAGUGGCCGUCCGGUGGAAACUCCACACCUUGGGACCGGAAGGCUCGAAGGGUACGGCCGGGGUAGGAGUGAAAUCCUGUAAUCCCGUCCGGACCACCGAUGGCGAAAGCACUUCGAGAAAACGGAUCCGACAGUGAGGGACGAAAGCUAGGGUCGCGAACCGGAUUAGAUACCCUAGUAGUCC